GUUAUAGGGUCAAGUGAAUAAGUGCAUGUGGUGGAUGCCUUGGCGAUCACAGGCGAUGAAGGACGUUGUAGCCUGCGUUAUGCUGCGGGGAGCUGGCAAACAAGCUUUGAUCCGCAGAUGUCCGAAUGGGGAAACCCACUCCGCAAGGAGUAUCCCGCGCUGAAUACAUAGGCGCGAGGAAGCGAACCGAGCGAACUGAAACAUCUAAGUAGCUCGAGGAAAAGAAAUCAACCGAGAUUCCGAAAGUAGUGGCGAGCGAAAUUGGAACAGCCUGUACGUGAUAGUCACGAAGUCAGCAGAACGGUCUGGAAAGUCCGGCCAUAGCAGGUGAUAGCCCUGUAUGUGAAAACAUCGUGGUGGUACUGAGCGUACGAUAAGUAGGGCGGGACACGUGAAAUCCUGUCUGAAGAUGGGGGGACCAUCCUCCAAGGCUAAAUACUCGUGAUCGACCGAUAGUGAACCAGUACCGUGAGGGAAAGGCGAAAAGAACCCCGGGAGGGGAGUGAAAUAGAUCCUGAAACCGCAUGCAUACAAACAGUCGGAGCCUCCUUGAGGGGUGACGGCGUACCUUUUGUAUAAUGGGUCAGCGACUUACGUUUAGUGGCAAGCUUAACCGAAUAGGGGAGGCGUAGGGAAACCGAGUCCGAAUAGGGCGAUUAGUCGCUAGGCGUAGACCCGAAACCAGAUGAUCUAUCCAUGGCCAGGAUGAAGGUAGGGUAACACCUGCUGGAGGUCCGAACCGACUACUGUUGCAAAAGUAGCGGAUGAGCUGUGGAUAGGGGUGAAAGGCUAAACAAAUCUGGAAAUAGCUGGUUCUCCCCGAAAACUAUUUAGGUAGUGCCUCAUGUAUGGCUCCAGGGGGUAGAGCACUGUCAUCAUUGCGGGGGUCAUUGCGAUUUACCGCGUGAUAGCAAACUCCGAAUACCUGGAAGUCUGAGCAUGGGAGACAGUCCUCGGGUGCUAACGUCCGAGGUCGAGAGGGAAACAACCCAGACCGCCAGCUAAGGUCCCCAAGCAUGACUAAGUGGGAAACGAAGUGGGAAGGCUAAAACAGUCAGGAGGUUGGCUUAGAAGCAGCCACCCUUUAAAGAAAGCGUAAUAGCUCACUGAUCGAGUCGUGGAGCGUUCUGUAAGCCUGUGAAGGUGUGUUGUAAAGCAUGCUGGAGGUAUCAGAAGUGCGAAUGCUGACAUGAGUAGCGUUAAACAGAGUGAAAAGCUCUGUCGCCGUAAGCGCAAGGUUUCCUACGCAACGUUAAUCGGCGUAGGGUGAGUCGGCCCCUAAGGCGAGGGCGAGAGCCGUAGCUGAUGGGAAGCAGGUUAAUAUUCCUGCACCGAUACUAGAUGCGAUGGGGGGACGGAUCGUGAAAGGUUGUCCGGGUGUUGGAUGUCCCGGUCCCUGUCUUGUAGGUGUCCAGUAGGCAAAUCCGCUGGACGUAUGCCAAGGAGAUGGGGCGAGUGAGCUUGCUCGCGAAGCAACUGGAAGGGGUCCCAGGAAAAGCCUCUAAGCUUCAGUCUAGUACGACCGUACCGCAAACCGACACUGGUGCGCGAGAUGAGUAUUCUCAGGCGCUUGAGAGAACUGCGGAGAAGGAACUCGGCAAAUUGACACCGUAACUUCGGGAGAAGGUGUGCCUUUGUAGCUUGAGUGUGAACAACACGAGGGCGAAGAGGUUGCAAAAAAUAGGUGGCUGCGACUGUUUACCAAAAACACAGCACUCUGCAAACACGAAAGUGGACGUAUAGGGUGUGACGCCUGCCCGGUGCCGGAAGGUUAA
RNAcentral lists this ribosomal RNA (1775 nucleotides) under Burkholderiaceae bacterium. Its description in RNAcentral is "partial 23S ribosomal RNA". It matches the Rfam family "Bacterial large subunit ribosomal RNA", at positions 1 to 1880 of the family's 2925-position model. Lineage: Bacteria; Pseudomonadati; Pseudomonadota; Betaproteobacteria; Burkholderiales; Burkholderiaceae. The record is from RNAcentral.